AGUGAACGCUGGCGAUAGGCCUAACACAUGCAAGUCGAACGGCAGCACAGUAAGGGCUUGCUCUUACGGGUGGCGAGUGGCGGACGGGUGAGGAAUACAUCGGAAUCUACUUUUUCGUGGGGGAUAACGUAGGGAAACUUACGCUAAUACCGCAUACGACCUACGGGUGAAAGCAGGGGAUCUUCGGACCUUGCGCGAUUGAAUGAGCCGAUGUCGGAUUAGCUAGUUGGCGGGGUAAAGGCCCACCAAGGCGACGAUCCGUAGCUGGUCUGAGAGGAUGAUCAGCCACACUGGAACUGAGACACGGUCCAGACUCCUACGGGAGGCAGCAGUGGGGAAUAUUGGACAAUGGGCGCAAGCCUGAUCCAGCCAUACCGCGUGGGUGAAGAAGGCCUUCGGGUUGUAAAGCCCUUUUGUUGGGAAAGAAAAGCAGCAGGUUAAUACCCCGCUGCUCUGACGGUACCCAAAGAAUAAGCACCGGCUAACUUCGUG
Molecule: ribosomal RNA, 492 nt
Filed under: uncultured bacterium
Lineage: Bacteria
Description: partial 16S ribosomal RNA
Rfam family: Bacterial small subunit ribosomal RNA
Source: RNAcentral